UAUUGGUCAAUGGACGCAAGUCUGAACCAGCCAUGCCGCGUGAAGGAUUAAGGUCCUCUGGAUUGUAAACUUCUUUUAUUUGGGACGAAAAAGGGUCUUUCUAGAUCAACUGACGGUACCAGAUGAAUAAGCACCGGCUAACUCCGUGCCAGCAGCCGCGGUAAUACGGAGGGUGCAAGCGUUAUCCGGAUUCACUGGGUUUAAAGGGUGCGUAGGCGGGUAGGUAAGUCAGUGGUGAAAUCCUUGAGCUCAACUCGAGAACUGCCAUUGAUACUAUUUAUCUUGAAUAUUGUGGAGGUAAGCGGAAUAUGUCAUGUAGCGGUGAAAUGCUUAGAUAUGACAUAGAACACCUAUUGCGAAGGCAGCUUACUACGCAUAUAUUGACGCUGAGGCACGAAAGCGUGGGGAUCAAACAGGAUUAGAUACCCUGGUAGUCCACGCCCUAAACUAUGAUUACUCGACAUUUGUGAUACACUAUAAGUGUCUGAGCGAAAGCAUUAAGUAAUCCACCUGGGAAGUACGUCCGCAAGGAUGAAACU
Molecule: ribosomal RNA, 539 nt
Filed under: uncultured Bacteroidota bacterium
Lineage: Bacteria; Pseudomonadati; Bacteroidota
Description: bacterial SSU rRNA
Rfam family: Bacterial small subunit ribosomal RNA
Source: RNAcentral